AUAUUCCUUCUUGGUUGCAUGUGCCACCACACAAAGGAAAGCGAGCCACAAAACCUCGUCCUUGCCGCCAUUUACAUUUGAAAGAGCCUGCGAAAGCCUGAAGCAUCUCCCAAUCGAGUCUAACCAAGUCCUUGCAUAACUUUCCGGAUUUGAGAACGAGGAAUCCACAGAAAUCCCCACACAUCCAAAGCCCAACGAAACCCCAUAAUGCUGGCCCAUAAUCAUUAUCAUUAACCUGAUGGGGAAGACAGUUUUUUGCUGCUUUGCUGGGCGAAAAAGAAGUCAUGAAACCACAGGAAUUGUUACAUGAGGCGCAAACAAAACAGUUUAAUUAAAAUUAUUAUUGUAAUUUAAUGGAAUGUGAGGAAUUAUUAUUUUUAUACGGGUCU
This is a non-coding RNA of Drosophila melanogaster (fruit fly), 389 nucleotides long. Lineage: Eukaryota; Metazoa; Arthropoda; Insecta; Diptera; Drosophilidae. The record is from Ensembl.